AAGACGUGAUAAGCUGCGAAAAGCUUCGGGGAGGAGCAAAUAUCCAUUGAUCCGGAGAUUUCUGAAUGGGGAAACCUACUUGAGAAGACCUCAAGUAUCCUUAGCCCAAUACAUAAGCUAAGGAGGGGAACCCGGUGAACUGAAACAUCUAAGUAGCCGGAGGAAGAGAAAACAACAUGUGAUUCUGUGAGUAGCGGCGAGCGAAAACGGAAGAGCCCAAACCAGUGUGCGUGCAUGCUGGGGUUCGGACCGCGGAAUUGAUUCAAUGAGUUUAGCAGAAUGGUUUUGGGAAAGCCAGCCAGAGAGGGUGAAAGCCCCGUAAGCGAAAGACGAGUUGACAAGGCGGGAUCCAGAGUAGGUCGAGACACGAGAAACCUUGACUGAAUAAGCGGGGACCACCCCGUAAGGCUAAAUACUACUUAGUGACCGAUAGCGCAUAGUACUGUGAAGGAAAGGUGAAAAGGACCCCGGGAGGGGAGUGAAAGAGAACCUGAAACCAUAUGUUUACAAGCUGUGGAACCGCAUUAUUGGCGGAACUGCGUACUUUUUGUAGAACGGUCCGGCGAGUUACGCUGUCUGGCGAGGUUAAGCACUGUAGGUGUGGAGCCGAAGGGAAACCAAGUUUUAACUGAGCGAGAAGUCAGACGGAGUAGACAGUGAAAGAGAACCUGAAACCAUAUGUUUACAAGCUGUGGAACCGCAUUAUUGGCGGAACCGCGUACUUUUUGUAGAACGGUCCGGCGAGUUACGCUGUCUGGCGAGGUUAAGCACUGCAGGUGUGGAGCCGAAGGGAAACCAAGUUUUAACUGAGCGAGAAGUCAGACGGAGUAGACCCGAAACCGGGUGAUCUAUCCAUGUCCAGGUUGAAGUUGCCGUAAAAGGCAAUGGAGGACCGAACCCACAUCCGUUGAAAAGGGUGGGGAUGAGGUGUGGAUAGGGGAGAAAUUCCAAUCGAACCCGGAGAUAGCUGGUUCUCCUCGAAAUAGCUUUAGGGCUAGCCUCAUACGAGUCUUGCGGAGGUAGAGCACUGAAUUUCCGCGGGGGCGUCAAAGCUUACCAAAGAAUAUCAAACUCCGAAUGCCGUGUAGAUGCUGUAUGGGAGUCAGACUGUCCGAGAUAAGUUGGAUGGUCAAAAGGGAAAGAGCCCAGACCUACGGCUAAGGUCCCAAAAUGUGUGUUAAGUGGAAAAGGAUGUGGGAUUUCGAAGACAACUAGGAUGUUGGCUCAGAAGCAGCCAUACAUUCAAAGAGUGCGUAAUAGCUCACUAGUCGAGAGGUCCUGCGCCGAAAAUGUCCGGGGCUGAAACACACUACCGAAGCCUAGGAAUCUUUUAGAAGAUUGGUAGAGGAGCAUUGCAUACGGGAAGAAGCUAUACCGGAAGGAGUAGUGGACUGUAUGGAAGAGAGAAUGCCGGAAUGAGUAGCGAGAGGAAGGUGAGAAUCCUUCCGGCCGAAUAUCUAAGGUUUCCAGAGUAAAGCUGAUCUGCUCUGGGUAAGUCGGGGCCUAAGGCAAGGUCGAAAGACGUAGUCGAUGGAUAACAGGUUGAAAUUCCUGUACUAUUUUAUGACAGAACUGUGGGGACGCAGGGAGAGAGCACGAGCCGGGAAUGGAAAGACCGGUGCAAGCGAGGUAUCCGUGAGGUAGGCAAAUCCGCCUCAUAAGGAGAAGACGUGAUGCGGACUGAAGUAUAAGUAGGGAAGCGUGUGAGCUAACUGCCAAGAAAAGCCGCUAUUGUUCAUAAAAUACCCGUACCGUAAACCGACACAGGUGGAUGAGGAGAGAAUCCUAAGGCCGACGGGAGAAGCAUUGUUAAGGAACUCGGCAAAAUGACUCCGUAACUUCGGGAGAAGGAGUGCCUGGUGACAGGCCGCAGAGAAAUGGCCCAAGCAACUGUUUAGCAAAAACACAGGUCUAUGCAAAACCGAAAGGUGAGGUAUAUGGGCUGACGCCUGCCCGGUGCUGGAAGGUUAAGGGGAGAGGUUAGCGCAAGCGAAGCUUUGAACUUAAGCCCCAGUAAACGGCGGCCGUAACUAUAACGGUCCUAAGGUAGCGAAAUUCCUUGUCGGGUAAGUUCCGACCCGCACGAAAGGCGUAAUGAUUUGGGCACUGUCUCAACAAUGCACCCGGUGAAAUUGAAAUACCAGUGAAGAUGCUGGUUACCUGCGCCAGGACGGAAAGACCCCAUGGAGCUUCACUCCAGCUUGAUACUGGGAUUCGAUAUUGCAUGUACAGGAUAGGUGGGAGACUAAGAACCAAUGACGCCAGUUGUUGGGGAGUCGCUGUUGGGAUACCACCCUUGCAGUAUUGGGUUUCUAACCAGCGGCCCUGAUCGGGUCGGGGGACAAUGUCAGGUGGGGAGUUUGACUGGGGCGGUCGCCUCCGAAAGGGUAUCGGAGGCGCUCAAAGGUUCCCUCAGAAUGGUUGGAAACCAUUCGAAGAGUGCAAAGGCAGAAGGGAGCUUGACUGCGACACCGACGGGUGGAGCAGGUACGAAAGUAGGACUUAGUGAUCCGGUGGUAUAAAGUGGGAUUGCCAUCGCUCAACGGAUAAAAGCUACCCUGGGGAUAACAGGCUUAUCACUCCCAAGAGUUCACAUCGACGGAGUGGUUUGGCACCUCGAUGUCGGCUCAUCGCAUCCUGGGGCUGAAGUAGGUCCCAAGGGUUGGGCUGUUCGCCCAUUAAAGCGGUACGCGAGCUGGGUUCAGAACGUCGUGAGACAGUUCGGUCCCUAUCCGGCGUGGGCGUAAGAUAUUUGAGAGGAGCUGUCCUUAGUACGAGAGGACCGGGAUGGACUGGCCGCUGGUGUAUCUGUUGUUCUACCAAGAGCAUAGCAGAGUAGCCAAGCCGGGAAGGGAUAAACGCUGAAGGCAUCUAAGCGUGAAGCCCCCCUCAAGAUGAGAUAUCUCAUAACGUCAAGUUAGUAAGACCCCUUGAAGACGACGAGGUAGAUAGGGCAGAGGUGGAAGUGCAGUAAUGCAUGGAGCUGACUGUUACUAAUAGGUCGAGGGCAUAACCA
RNAcentral lists this ribosomal RNA (3016 nucleotides) under Ruminococcus sp. AF14-10. RNAcentral's name for it is "partial 23S ribosomal RNA". It matches the Rfam family "Bacterial large subunit ribosomal RNA". Lineage: Bacteria; Bacillati; Bacillota; Clostridia; Eubacteriales; Oscillospiraceae. The record is from RNAcentral.